UUCCCAUCCACCAGGCUGACUCCACCCACACCCUCUUUAGAAGACCCUCUCUCCUCAAUCUGCUGCCAGGCUGGGAAGUUCUGGUUAUGACUAUUGACGACAUAAGCUGGCUUGAAAAUCCUUGGAAGAUGAGUGGCGGACUCCCAUGGGG
This is a long non-coding RNA of Microtus oregoni (creeping vole), 151 nucleotides long. RefSeq lists it as uncharacterized. The transcript is spliced from 3 exons. Lineage: Eukaryota; Metazoa; Chordata; Mammalia; Rodentia; Cricetidae. The record is from RefSeq and is a predicted model, not a curated record.